GAUGAACGCUAGCGGCAGGCCUAACACAUGCAAGUCGAGGGAGAAGCCCUUUCGGGGGCAGAAACCGGCGCACGGGUGCGUAACGCGUAUGCAACCUACCUUUCACAGGGGGAUAGCCCGAAGAAAUUUGGAUUAAUACCCCAUAAUAUUGUUGGAUGACAUCAUUUGGCAAUUAAAACUGCGGUGGUGAAAGAUGGGCAUGCGUCCUAUUAGCUAGUUGGAGUGGUAACGGCACCCCAAGGCUACGAUAGGUAGGGGUCCUGAGAGGGAGAUCCCCCACACUGGUACUGAGACAGGGACCAGACUCCUACGGGAGGCAGCAGUGAGGAAUAUUGGUCAAUGGUCGGAAGACUGAACCAGCCAUGCCGCGUGCAGGAAGAAUGCCUUAUGGG
Molecule: ribosomal RNA, 392 nt
Filed under: uncultured bacterium
Lineage: Bacteria
Description: bacterial SSU rRNA
Rfam family: Bacterial small subunit ribosomal RNA
Source: RNAcentral